Molecule: ribosomal RNA, 327 nt
Filed under: uncultured eukaryote
Lineage: Eukaryota
Description: partial 18S ribosomal RNA
Rfam family: Eukaryotic small subunit ribosomal RNA
Source: RNAcentral
CCCUUAGAUGUUCUGGGCCGCACACGCGCUACACUGAAGGAGGCAGCGUGUACUCCUGGAUCGAAAGAUUUGGGUAACCCGCGAAUCUCCUUCGUGCUAGGGAUUGAGGUUUGCAAUUAUCCUUCAUGAACGAGGAAUUCCCAGUAAGUGCAAGUCAUAAGCUUGCGCUGACUACGUCCCUGCCCUUUGUACACACCGCCCGUCGCUACUACCGAUUGAAUGGUCCGGUGAAUUCUUCGGACUGUGGCUUUGGAUCGGUUUCGGCCGAGACGCUGCCGUGGGAAGUUGUUUAAACCUUACCAUUUAGAGGAAGGUGAAGUCGUAACA